GAUGAACGCUGGCGGCGUGCCUAACACAUGCAAGUCGAACGAAGCACCUUACCUGAUUCUUCGGAUGAAAGUUUGGUGACUGAGUGGCGGACGGGUGAGUAACGCGUGGGUAACCUGCCCUGUACAGGGGGAUAACAGCUGGAAACGGCUGCUAAUACCGCAUAAGCGCACGAGGAGACAUCUCCUUGUGUGAAAAACUCCGGUGGUACAGGAUGGGCCCGCGUCUGAUUAGCUGGUUGGCAGGGUAACGGCCUACCAAGGCAACGAUCAGUAGCCGGUCUGAGAGGAUGAACGGCCACAUUGGAGCUGAGACACAGUCCAAACUCCUACGGGAGGCAGCAGUGGGGAAUAUUGCACAAUGGGGGAAACCCUGAUGCAGCAACGCCGCGUGAGUGAAGAAGUAUUUCGGUAUGUAAAGCUCUAUCAGCAGGGAAGAUAAUGACGGUACCUGACUAAGAAGCUCCGGCUAAAUACGUG
This 477-nucleotide ribosomal RNA is filed under the name uncultured bacterium. RNAcentral describes it as "partial 16S ribosomal RNA". It matches the Rfam family "Bacterial small subunit ribosomal RNA", at positions 28 to 507 of the family's 1533-position model. The record is from RNAcentral.